RNAcentral lists this long non-coding RNA (766 nucleotides) under Ananas comosus (pineapple). Its description in RNAcentral is "long non-coding RNA (ACOM_LNC030930)". Lineage: Eukaryota; Viridiplantae; Streptophyta; Magnoliopsida; Poales; Bromeliaceae. The record is from RNAcentral.
UGGCCUGUGGCAAGGAUUAAAAUGGCUAUUAGCACGGGCCGUAUCCACUAUGGUUUCGUGUUAGCAAAUAUCGGUACGAUACAGUUCCCAUGUCGAUAGCACAACUCAAAAUUCUCUAUUCUGAAAAUUAGUAAAUAAUUUUCUCAAUGCAGUUCAAAAGAUUUGAUAAAAAUACGUAAUAAAUAAUUGACAUAUUUUGUUGUUAAGAAAAAUAAAUAUUUCAUAUCAUCACGUGUCGGCACACACAUAUUUUUUAUAACCGUCACGCAUCGACACAGCUCGACACACACCGUAUUGUAUCGUGCCAACAAAUUUCUAACACGAUCUCGUGCCCCGGUACUUAAAUCCUUAGUUUACAGGUGGCACAGCACAACACGAUACGCAUAAUUUGCAGCAUUUUUAUCUAUUUGCAGUCGUUCAACAACGGCUUAGUCACUAGCGGUCAUAAUGCUUCUUUUAAAAGCAUAUUCGGUCUUUUUUUUUCGUCCAACGAUGUGCACUACUAUAAUAACUGAUCCAAACGAAAAAUACAAAAAAGGAAAAAAAAUAAAACAAAUUCGAAAAACUAUAAAAUACUAAAGUGAAUAUUCGAUAAAUCAUAGAUAUAGUACCUGAAGUUUUCUAUAUAUAUAAUUUAACACAGAGUUAAUAAAGGUGGGGACGAAAAGAAAAAAAUAAAAUUACACGAUACUAAAAUGAUAUAUUUUAAAUUAUAGAAUACUAAAGUAAAAAAACGUGAGACUAUAGGAGUGAUAUUUAAAGUUUA